Acetobacterium woodii DSM 1030 is the source of this 72-nucleotide transfer RNA. It matches the Rfam family "tRNA". Rfam says of the family: Transfer RNA (tRNA) molecules are approximately 80 nucleotides in length. Their secondary structure includes four short double-helical elements and three loops (D, anti-codon, and T loops). The record is from Rfam. NCBI's taxonomy places the organism in Bacteria, Bacillati, Bacillota, Clostridia, Eubacteriales, Eubacteriaceae.
GGCCCCUUGGUCAAGCGGUUAAGACACCGCCCUUUCACGGCGGUAACAGGGGUUCAAGUCCCCUAGGGGUCA